UUUGCCUUUUGUGAUACGCUUUCAAAGAGUCAGGUUGUUUGGGAAUGCAGCCUAAAUUGGGUGGUAAAUCUCACCUAAAGCUAAAUAUUGGCGAGAAACCGAUAGCGAACAAGUACCGUGAGGGAAAGAUGAAAAGAACUUUGAAAAGAGAGUUAAACAGUAUGUGAAAUUGUUAAAAGGGAACCGUUUGGAGCCAGACUGGCUUGUCUGUAAUCAAUCUAGGCUUCGGCCUGGAUGCACUUGCAGGCUAUGCCUGCCAACGACAAUUUGACUUGAGGGAAAAAACUAAGGGAAAUGUGGCCCACUUGUGGGUGUUAUAGUCCCUUAGAAAAUACCUUGGGUUGGAUUGAGGAACGCAGCGAAUGCUUUUUGGCGAGUUUUCCAGGAAGGUUUUCUGAGGUACUACGGUAUCAAGGUUGAUCUUUU
Molecule: ribosomal RNA, 426 nt
Filed under: Rhizopus arrhizus
Lineage: Eukaryota; Fungi; Mucoromycota; Mucoromycetes; Mucorales; Rhizopodaceae
Description: eukaryotic LSU rRNA
Rfam family: Eukaryotic large subunit ribosomal RNA
Source: RNAcentral